GUACUGAUAUAUUUGAUGUGGGACUUGUCAGUAAAAAAUAGACAUGGAAAAUUCUCGUUUGUUGUAUGUUAAGUUAGCAUAACCUCACAGAUUUCUUGUUGUAAACAAGAAAUACGUCGGGCUAUUCUAUGAAAUUUACAAUACGACCAACAUGAGUUAAAAAAGUCAAACAAGCAAUUUUUAUCCAAAUGUUUGGUUGAUAUGUUUCACCCAACAAAAUUAAGGGAGGUGAGGGGUUCCAAAUCAACCAAAGGCUACGAAUGAGUCUGAAAUGACAACGAAUUUAUGAAUGAAGGUCGACAAAUGGAGACAUAAAGGUCACACUCAGCAGACAGGUUGCAGUCUGGUCUUGAAAAAAGUAUUCAAUAUAUCAGUUCAGCGAAACAGACAUUCCGGUCAGACAUGCAAACCCCGGCCUCAAACAAAUACGCCCGUUUUGUAUUCAUCAUGUUCCUUUAGUACUAAUUAAUUCUGUUGGAAAUUUUCGUUUCUAAUAGCAAAAAAGAUUAUUGUUUUCAAUCCAGAUACGGCC
Molecule: long non-coding RNA, 532 nt
Filed under: Mytilus galloprovincialis (Mediterranean mussel)
Lineage: Eukaryota; Metazoa; Mollusca; Bivalvia; Mytilida; Mytilidae
Source: RNAcentral